GAUGAAGAACGCAGCGAAAUGCGAUAAGUAAUGUGAAUUGCAGAAUUCAGUGAAUCAUCAAAUCUUUGAACGCACAUUGCGCCCGCUAGUAUUCUGGCGGGCAUGCCUGUUCGAGCGUCAUUUCAACCAUCAAGCCCUGUUUAGGCUUGUGUUGGGGCCCUGCGGCUGCCGCAGCCCCCUAAAUGCAGUGGCGGGCUCGUUGUCACUCCGAGCGCAGUAGCGUAUCUCGCUCUGGGCGUGGCGGCGGGUGCUAGCCGUGAAACACCCACUAAGGUUGACCUCGGAUCAGGUAGGAAUACCCGCUGAACUUAAGCAUAUCAAUAAGCGGAGGA
This 332-nucleotide unclassified non-coding RNA is filed under the name soil metagenome. RNAcentral describes it as "partial contains 5.8S ribosomal RNA, internal transcribed spacer 2, and large subunit ribosomal RNA". The stretch from base 1 to 120 matches the Rfam family "5.8S ribosomal RNA", at positions 35 to 154 of the family's 154-position model. The record is from RNAcentral.